Zea mays is the source of this 483-nucleotide long non-coding RNA. RefSeq lists it as uncharacterized. The transcript is spliced from 3 exons. The record is from RefSeq and is a predicted model, not a curated record. Lineage: Eukaryota; Viridiplantae; Streptophyta; Magnoliopsida; Poales; Poaceae.
ACACCGGUUGCUUGUCUUUCUGUCUGUGCUGACUUGGGGUUUGUUGCCCCUGUUCUCUGUCGUGAUUCGUGAAGCUGGCGGCGAGGAUUGUUGUAUCGAACCUGCACAAGAACACAAAGAAGUCAUUCUCGGAGACGUUUAAGGACAUGUACAUGCACUUCAACAAGAGAUCGAGGCUGAUGCCCCUUUGGUCGCUGAAGAUGUUUAUGAAAUCAUCAUGAAGAAUGCUGCUCGCUUGGACAGUGAGAUAAUUUAUGAUAGGGAUUUCGACUACGACUAUUUUGGCUUCAAAACUCUAGAGAGGUCUUGCCUGUUGAAGCUUGAUGGUAAGGUCGUUGAAAGGCCACAACAGAUGUUAAUGAGGGUUUCACUAGGGAUACACAAGGAAGACAUCGAGUCUGCCAUCAGGACGUACCAUCUGAUGUCCCAGCGCUGGUUUUCUCAUGCUUCACCGAUGCUUUUUUCAAUGUUGGCACGUCGAGG